GACGAACGCUGGCGGCGUGCUUAACACAUGCAAGUCGAACGAAGUGGCGAACGGGUGAGUAACGCGUAAUCAACCUGCCCUUCAGAGGGGGACAACAGGUGGAAACGACUGCUAAUACCGAAUACUGAAGGAGGGGAUUGCGUCUGAUUAGCUAGUUGGAGGGGUAACGGCCAACCAAGGCUAUGAUCAGUAGCCGGUCUGAGAGGAUGAACGGCAACAUUGUGACUGGGACACGGCCCAGACUCCUACGGGAGGCAGCAGUGGGGAAUCGUCCGAAAUGGAGGAAAGUCUGACGGAGCAACGCCGCGGGAGUUAUGACGGCCUUCGGGUUGUAAAGCUCUGUUAAUCGGGACUCGGUACCGGAAUAGAAAGCCACGGCUAACUACGUGCCAGCAGCCGCGGUAAUUC
Molecule: ribosomal RNA, 408 nt
Filed under: uncultured bacterium
Lineage: Bacteria
Description: partial 16S ribosomal RNA
Rfam family: Bacterial small subunit ribosomal RNA
Source: RNAcentral